UGAAGGGAAGGGAGGGGGGCAGGGAGAGAUGCUUAGAACGGAAGCAGCAACGGUCCCCAGGGCGGCUGGGUCACUGGCAGCUUGGUCUCACAGCACUGGGUGGAAGUAGCUACACUGAAGAUAAAAUGAGCUUAAAAUCAGCACAAACAAAUUCACUGAUGAGGACAGCACCACUACACGCUACACUAGUGACAGACUUGGAAUAGGAAACCUCAUAAUGGAAUUCAAAGGCAUGGCUGACUGGCCAAGAAUUCCCCGAAUAUGUUUGAUUGUGCAAUCAUUCCACAGGCUUACUGGAACAUGUGAUCACCAAGUGCACUCAACUUUUAGAUCAGAGUCGAACCACCUGAUGUUUGAAUCAUGUGAAAUGAUUUGGGGGUUCUCAGUCCAGAUCAGAACACACCCCACUAUAACAGCUACUAACUAGUCCACAUGUUGGCAGCCCCAGCUGAGGGAGGGGGUUGGAAUAUGGAGACUGAACUCCCUACUUUCAUCUACAGAGAUGAUCCCUCCAGAUCAGGUGUGAAAGCUCAUUGGCAGGUCAACAUUAAGAUGGAUUAAUUGAUCUUUCUUGACCAUAUUUCAGUGUGCAAUGCCACAGCACACAUCUUGCCCCCCCCACCCCUCCCCAGCAUCAAACUUCUAAGUACUUUUAAAA
Non-coding RNA from Caretta caretta (loggerhead turtle), 658 nucleotides. Lineage: Eukaryota; Metazoa; Chordata; Testudines; Cheloniidae. The record is from RefSeq and is a predicted model, not a curated record.